RNAcentral lists this ribosomal RNA (294 nucleotides) under uncultured bacterium. RNAcentral's name for it is "partial 16S ribosomal RNA". The record is from RNAcentral.
GGACUACCGGGGUAUCUAAUCCUUUUUGCUCCCCACGCUUUCGUCUCUCAGUGUCAGGGUCGUCCCAGCAAACUGCCUUCGCUUUUGGUGUUCCCGACAAUAUCAACGGAUUUCACCCCUACUUUGUCGGUUCCGUUUGCCUCUAACGCCCUCUCAGUGUAGCAGUAUUCAAAACAGCUCAAAGGUUAAGCCGAUGAGGUUUAAUCUUGAACUUACUACACCACCUACAGACCCUUUACACCCAAUAAAUCCGGGUAACGCUCGGGGAUUCUGUAUUACCGCGGCUGCUGGCAC